Molecule: ribosomal RNA, 397 nt
Filed under: uncultured bacterium
Lineage: Bacteria
Description: bacterial SSU rRNA
Rfam family: Bacterial small subunit ribosomal RNA
Source: RNAcentral
AUUGAACGCUGGCGGAAUGCUUUACACAUGCAAGUCGAACGGCAGCACGGGGCAACCUGGUGGCGAGUGGCGAACGGGUGAGUAAUACAUCGGAACGUGCCCAAUCGUGGGGGAUAACGUAGCGAAAGUUACGCUAAUACCGCAUACGAUCUACGGAUGAAAGCGGGGGAUCGCAAGACCUCGCGCGAUUGGAGCGGCCGAUGUCAGAUUAGGUAGUUGGUGGGGUAAAGGCUCACCAAGCCGACGAUCUGUAGCUGGUCUGAGAGGACGACCAGCCACACUGGGACUGAGACACGGCCCAGACUCCUACGGGAGGCAGCAGUGGGGAAUUUUGGACAAUGGGCGCAAGCCUGAUCCAGCCAUUCCGCGUGCAGGAUGAAGGCCUUCGGGUUGUAAC